AGAGUGGUUGAAUGCACUGGUCUUGAAAACCAGCAUACCUGCAAGGGUAUCGGGGGUUCGAAUCCCCCUCUCUCCGCCA
RNAcentral lists this transfer RNA (79 nucleotides) under Alphaproteobacteria bacterium MarineAlpha3_Bin5. RNAcentral describes it as "tRNA-Ser". It matches the Rfam family "tRNA", at positions 12 to 71 of the family's 71-position model. From Rfam's summary of the family: Transfer RNA (tRNA) molecules are approximately 80 nucleotides in length. Their secondary structure includes four short double-helical elements and three loops (D, anti-codon, and T loops). The record is from RNAcentral. Lineage: Bacteria; Pseudomonadati; Pseudomonadota; Alphaproteobacteria.